Molecule: non-coding RNA, 204 nt
Filed under: Deltaproteobacteria bacterium GWA2_42_85
Lineage: Bacteria; Deltaproteobacteria
Also listed under: 9 other names
Description: 6S RNA
Rfam family: 6S / SsrS RNA
About the family: E. coli 6S RNA was the first non coding RNA to be sequenced, but its function was unknown until recently. It consists of 184 nucleotides that fold into an extended hairpin structure with a large single-stranded internal bulge.
Source: RNAcentral
UCUCCCCUGCUGUGUUCGUGAUUAUGGUAUAUUCAGAACCAACACUAAAAAAAGAGGGAACCUUCCCUGACUGUCUGCCGACGGAUUCCACAGACCCGCUGCGCGGGUUAGAUAUGGAAGGGUCGAAUGCAGUUAUAAAAGGUACCCACCUAUCAAAAAUAGGUUUAAUGAAUAGCCCAUUACACGACGCAAAGCGGGGGAGAA